CGGAACUGGAACCCCUGCAGGGCCUCGUAGUCCAGAGACCUGAGGGCGAACAGGUGGCCGUUGUCCGCGUUGAUGGAGACCAGGGAUGUGAGGGGCAGGUGCGGGUCCUGGGGCGGCAGCAGCGAGUAGGUGACCUGGGCGUUGGUGCCUGAGUCUCUGUCUGUAGCGCUGACGCUGCGGAUGUGCAGGGCGGGGCUGUUGUUCUCGCGGACGAACAGGGUGUAGGAGGUUUGGGUGAAGGCGGGAGCGUUGUCAUUGACAUCGGCGAUCAGCACGGUCAUAUUGAGCUGUGUUAUCAGCAUAGGGGUCCCCAAGUCAGUGACAGUGAUAGUGAUGUUGUAUUCCGGUGUAGGAGGUUUGGGUGAAGGCGGGGGCGUUGUCAUUGACGUCGGAGACCUGCAGGGUUAUGCUGUGCUCGGUUUUCAGCCUGGGUGUCCCCAAGUCAGUGACGGUGAUGGUGAUGUUGUACUCAGCUUUGCUCUCUCUGUCCAGUGCACCUUCAGUCAUUAGGAUGUAAAAAUUGUCAACAGACGGUUUCAGAAAAAAAGGCAGAUUAUCUUGAACAUAGCAAAUUGU
RNAcentral lists this long non-coding RNA (576 nucleotides) under Homo sapiens (human). RNAcentral describes it as "non-protein coding lnc-TAF7-4:2". Lineage: Eukaryota; Metazoa; Chordata; Mammalia; Primates; Hominidae. The record is from RNAcentral.